This 454-nucleotide ribosomal RNA is filed under the name uncultured bacterium. Its description in RNAcentral is "partial 16S ribosomal RNA". It matches the Rfam family "Bacterial small subunit ribosomal RNA", at positions 28 to 507 of the family's 1533-position model. The record is from RNAcentral.
GAUGAACGCUGACAGAAUGCUUAACACAUGCAAGUCUACUUGAACUUCGGUUUGGGUGGCGGACGGGUGAGUAACGCGUAAAGAACUUGCCUCACAGUUAGGGACAACAUUUGGAAACGAAUGCUAAUACCUGAUAUUAUGAUUUUAGGGCAUCCUAAAAUUAUGAAAGCUAUAUGCGCUGUGAGAGAGCUUUGCGUCCCAUUAGCUAGUUGGAGAGGUAACGGCUCACCAAGGCGAUGAUGGGUAGCCGGCCUGAGAGGGUGAACGGCCACAAGGGGACUGAGAAACGGCCCUUACUCAUACUGGAGGAAACAGCGGAGAAUAUUGGCAAAUGGACCAAAAGUCUGAUCCAGCAAUUCUGUGUGCAAGAUGAUGUUUUUCGGAAUGAAAAGUGCUUUCAGUUGGGAAGAAAAAAAUGACGGUACCAACAGAAGAAGUGACGGCUAAAUACGUG